CAUUUAAUAGCUUGAAAGUUACACUUUUAAAUAUUUAAAUUCAUUCAAUAACAAAAGGUGAAAUGAAUGGUUGAAUCCCAACAGUAAAAUUAUUUGUCCCGACAGUUUCUAAAUGCCGAGUUCGAAAGUUAAGAUGUCUAAUAUGACGGUUUUUAAAAUGUCGAAUUUGAUAGUUGAACUGUCGAAAUUGUCAGGAAGCUUGAAAACAUGUAUUUGGUAUCUUGGAAGAAAU
Molecule: long non-coding RNA, 232 nt
Filed under: Olea europaea (common olive)
Lineage: Eukaryota; Viridiplantae; Streptophyta; Magnoliopsida; Lamiales; Oleaceae
Description: long non-coding RNA (OEUR_LNC010069)
Source: RNAcentral